GUGCUAGGCGGGGAGCUAGUGGUGCCCUGUACUCACAAUCCACUACAGUGAGGCUGAACGACGUUUGAGGCUCAAAUUUGGCUGUGUUGAGUAGUGGUAGUGUAUGUUGAAAUUAAGGUCUUAUACAAUAUUGCCCUACGAACCAUGUCAGGGUAGGAAUACAGCAGCAUUAAGUUGGAUACAGUAUGUGAUAUAAGGUUGCUUUGAUGGAGUGCAAUAUUAU
This 223-nucleotide signal recognition particle RNA is filed under the name chicken gut metagenome. RNAcentral's name for it is "Bacterial large signal recognition particle RNA". It matches the Rfam family "Bacterial large signal recognition particle RNA", at positions 3 to 221 of the family's 256-position model. Rfam says of the family: The signal recognition particle (SRP) is a universally conserved ribonucleoprotein involved in the co-translational targeting of proteins to membranes. The record is from RNAcentral.